CUUAAAUUGAAGAGUUUGAUCAUGGCUCAGAUUGAACGCUGGCGGCAGGCCUAACACAUGCAAGUCGAGCGGAAACGAGUUAUCUG
This 86-nucleotide ribosomal RNA is filed under the name Vibrio parahaemolyticus. Its description in RNAcentral is "partial 16S ribosomal RNA". It matches the Rfam family "Bacterial small subunit ribosomal RNA", at positions 1 to 83 of the family's 1533-position model. Lineage: Bacteria; Pseudomonadati; Pseudomonadota; Gammaproteobacteria; Vibrionales; Vibrionaceae. RNAcentral also lists the same sequence under 1 other name. The record is from RNAcentral.